This 484-nucleotide ribosomal RNA is filed under the name uncultured bacterium. Its description in RNAcentral is "bacterial SSU rRNA". It matches the Rfam family "Bacterial small subunit ribosomal RNA", at positions 338 to 816 of the family's 1533-position model. The record is from RNAcentral.
CCUACGAGAGGCAGCAGUGGGGAAUAUUGGACAAUGGGCGCAAGCCUGAUCCAGCCAUACCGCGUGUGUGAAGAAGGCCUUUUGGUUGUAAAGCACUUUAAGCGAGGAGGAGGCUCUUGAGGAUAAUACCCUUGAUGAGUGGACGUUACUCGCAGAAUAAGCACCGGCUAACUCUGUGCCAGCAGCCGCGGUAAUACAGAGGGUGCGAGCGUUAAUCGGAAUUACUGGGCGUAAAGCGCGCGUAGGCGGCUUGUUAAGUCGGAUGUGAAAUCCCCGGGCUCAACCUGGGCACUGCAUUCGAUACUGGCAAGCUAGAGUAUGGGAGAGGAAGGUAGAAUUCCAGGUGUAGCGGUGAAAUGCGUAGAGAUCUGGAGGAAUACCGAUGGCGAAGGCAGCCUUCUGGCCUAAUACUGACGCUGGAGUGACGAAGACAGUGGGAGGACGAACGAGAGUAGUACUACCGUACGUAGUACAUGACGUAACG